This 1098-nucleotide ribosomal RNA is filed under the name uncultured Bacteroidota bacterium. Its description in RNAcentral is "bacterial SSU rRNA". The record is from RNAcentral. Lineage: Bacteria; Pseudomonadati; Bacteroidota.
GAGUUUGAUCAUGGCUCAGGAUGAACGCUAGCGGCAGGCUUAAUACAUGCAAGUCGAGGGGCAGCAGCUUUAUAGCAAUAUAGAGGCUGGCGACCGGCAAACGGGUGCGGAACACGUACACAACCUUCCUUGAAUAGGGGGAUAGCCCAUAGAAAUGUGGAUUAAUACCCCGUAAUAUAGCGGUGUGGCAUCACACUGUUAUUAUAGUUUCGGCGAUUCGAGAUGGGUGUGCGGCUGAUUAGGUAGUUGGCGGGGUAAAGGCCCACCAAGCCUUCGAUCAGUAGCUGAUGUGAGAGCAUGAUCAGCCACACGGGCACUGAGACACGGGCCCGACUCCUACGGGAGGCAGCAGUAAGGAAUAUUGGUCAAUGGACGCAAGUCUGAACCAGCCAUGCCGCGUGAAGGAUGAAGGUCCUCUGGAUUGUAAACUUCUUUUAUAGGGGGCGAAAAAAGGUCUUUCUAGAUCACUUGACAGUACCCUAUGAAUAAGCACCGGCUAACUCCGUGCCAGCAGCCGCGGUAAUACGGAGGGUGCAAGCGUUAUCCGGAUUCACUGGGUUUAAAGGGUGCGUAGGCGGGUAGGUAAGUCAGAGGUGAAAUCCUGGAGCUUAACUCCAGAACUGCCUUUGAUACUAUCUAUCUUGAAUAUGGUGGAGGUAAGCGGAAUAUGUCAUGUAGCGGUGAAAUGCAUAGAUAUGACAUAGAACACCUAUUGCGAAAGCAGCUUACUACGCCUAUAUUGACGCUGAGGCACGAAAGCGUGGGGAUCAAACAGGAUUAGAUACCCUGGUAGUCCACGCCCUAAACGAUGAUUACUCGACGUAUGCGAUACACAGUAUGCGUCUGAGCGAAAGCAUUAAGUAAUCMMCUGGGAAGUACGACCGCAAGGUUGAACUCAAAGGAUUGGCGGGGUCCGCACAARCGUGGGGCAUGUGGUUUAAUUCRAUGAUACSCRAGAACCUUWCUUGGCUAGAUGCAGYCUGACCGUGGGGUGAASYCAUCGUACAAUACGCAAAUGGUAAGGUGCUGCAUGCCUGCCUMMGCUCAKCGUGARGKUGUUUAAUCGCACGAACGCAACCUUWMCUAAGCCAAAGUAGC